This is a non-coding RNA of Acanthosepion pharaonis, 95 nucleotides long. Lineage: Eukaryota; Metazoa; Mollusca; Cephalopoda; Sepiida; Sepiidae. The record is from the annotation of a GenBank genome assembly.
CAAAUACUAGUUCUUAUAUGAUCACUGAAGUUAAGCAACAUUGAGCCUGGUCAGUACUUAGAUGGGUGACUCCUUGGGAGUACAAGGUGCUGUAA